Molecule: long non-coding RNA, 324 nt
Filed under: Dermacentor andersoni
Lineage: Eukaryota; Metazoa; Arthropoda; Arachnida; Ixodida; Ixodidae
Description: uncharacterized LOC126544227
Source: RNAcentral
UUCAUCGAACCCUUGAUUAUGCAACCAGAGGCAGUGGCACUCGUUGUGUCCUGUUUGAGAUGAAUGGUCUUUUUGUCCGUGUCUAUCCACUAUCACCUGGGUUUAUCUCCUGGCUGCUGAAGUGUGCCUGCAUUUUCCAGGUCAACUACUGUGACAUUAAUGUCUGGAUACAAAUUGGGUAGAUCUUGUAUGCCAUGCCCAACAUCAGAAUAGCUGGAAUGUACAGACUAAAAAAGCUCGGAAGCGCUUGCACUCUUUGGAGAAUUUUGUAUGAGCAUUUUCAGGCUGUUCUGGUGACACUAAAAAAUACUGGCUCUCCUGUAA